UACGUAGGUGGCAAGCGUUGUCCGGAAUUACUGGGCGUAAAGCGUGCGCAGGCGGUUGGCAAAGUCAGCUGUGAAAGCCCCGGGCUUAACCUGGGAAUGGCGGUUGAAACUAGUCGACUAGAAUCUGGCAGAGGGGGGUGGAAUUCCACGUGUAGCAGUGAAAUGCGUAGAGAUGUGGAGGAACACCGAUGGCGAAGGCAGCCCCCUGGGCUGAGAUUGACGCUCAGGCACGAAAGCGUGGGGAGCAAACAGG
This 253-nucleotide ribosomal RNA is filed under the name uncultured bacterium. RNAcentral describes it as "partial 16S ribosomal RNA". It matches the Rfam family "Bacterial small subunit ribosomal RNA", at positions 524 to 776 of the family's 1533-position model. The record is from RNAcentral.